GGAGCGGUAGUUCAGUUGGUUAGAAUACCUGCCUAACACGCAGGAGGUCACGGGUUAGAGUCCCGUCCGUUCCGCCA
Molecule: transfer RNA, 77 nt
Filed under: Salmonella enterica subsp. enterica
Lineage: Bacteria; Pseudomonadati; Pseudomonadota; Gammaproteobacteria; Enterobacterales; Enterobacteriaceae
Description: tRNA-Val
Rfam family: tRNA
About the family: Transfer RNA (tRNA) molecules are approximately 80 nucleotides in length. Their secondary structure includes four short double-helical elements and three loops (D, anti-codon, and T loops).
Source: RNAcentral